Molecule: non-coding RNA, 30 nt
Filed under: Mus musculus (house mouse)
Lineage: Eukaryota; Metazoa; Chordata; Mammalia; Rodentia; Muridae
Source: RNAcentral
UCUCCAGAUGUGCCAGUCCUCAACUGGUGU